GAGCACGUAGGGGGUUUGUAAGUCAGAUGUGAAAGCCUUCUGUUCAACGGGAGAAUUGCAUCUGAAACUGCUAAUCUUGGGUAUAGGAGGGGAGAAUGGAACUUCUGGUGGAGCGGUGAAAUGCGUAGAUAUCAGAAGGAACGCCGGCGGCGAAAGCGAUUCUCUGGCCUAUUACUGACACUCAGUGUGCGAAAGCUAGGGGAGCAAACGGGAUAGAUACCCCGGAGCCUUGCAAU
Molecule: ribosomal RNA, 236 nt
Filed under: Candidatus Scalindua marina (nom. nud.)
Lineage: Bacteria; Pseudomonadati; Planctomycetota; Candidatus Brocadiia; Candidatus Brocadiales; Candidatus Scalinduaceae
Description: Candidatus Scalindua marina partial 16S ribosomal RNA
Rfam family: Bacterial small subunit ribosomal RNA
Source: RNAcentral